GAUGAACGCUAGCGGCAGGCUUAAUACAUGCAAGUCGAGGGAGAAUGGGGCUUCGGCCCCAGGGAACCGGCGCACGGGUGCGUAACGCGUACACAACCUGCCUUAUACUGGAGUAUAGCCUCGGGAAACUGGGAGUAAUCCUCCAUAACAUUAUCGGGUGGCAUCACCUGGUAAUUAAAGCUCAGGCGGUCUAAGAUUGGUGUGCGUAUGAUUAGCUAGUUGGUAGGGUAACGGCCUACCAAGGCGACGAUCAUUAGCUGGCGUGAGCGCGCGACCAGCCACACUGGAACUGAGACACGGUCCAGACUCCUACGGGAGGCAGCAGUAGGGAAUAUUGGACAAUGGGCGAAAGCCUGAUCCAGCCAUGCCGCGUGAUGGAUGAAGGCCCUCUGGGUUGUAAACAUCUUUUAUCAGGGAAGAAACACCCCGUUUCUACGGGAUUUGACGGUACCUGAUGAAUAAGCACCGGCUAACUCCGUGCCAGCAGCCGCCGUAA
This 496-nucleotide ribosomal RNA is filed under the name uncultured bacterium. Its description in RNAcentral is "partial 16S ribosomal RNA". It matches the Rfam family "Bacterial small subunit ribosomal RNA", at positions 28 to 523 of the family's 1533-position model. The record is from RNAcentral.